GAUGAAGAACGUAGCGAAAUGCGAUACUUGGUGUGAAUUGCAGAAUCCCGUGAACCAUCGAGUCUUUGAACGCAAGUUGCGCCCGAAGCCAUUAGGCCGAGGGCACGCCUGCCUGGGCGUCACACGUCGUUGCCCCCCCAUCUACUCCUUCGGGAUUGCGGGGGGCGGAUGAUGGCCUCUCGUGCGCCUCGUCGCGCGGUUGGCCUAAAUGCCAAGUCCUCGGCGACGCACGCCACGACAAUCGGUGGUUGCGAAACCUCGGUUGCCUGUCGUGUGCGGUCGUCGCGCAUCGAGGGCUCGAAAAAAUUGCCGGGCUUCGGCUCGACUUUCAACGCGACCCCAGGUCAGGCGGGGUUACCCGCUGAAUUUAAGCAUAUCAAUAAGCGGAGGA
Molecule: unclassified non-coding RNA, 391 nt
Filed under: soil metagenome
Description: partial contains 5.8S ribosomal RNA, internal transcribed spacer 2, and large subunit ribosomal RNA
Rfam family: 5.8S ribosomal RNA (bases 1-122)
Source: RNAcentral